AUACGUAGGGUGCAAGCGUUAAUCGGAAUUACUGGGCGUAAAGCGUGCGCAGGCGGUUUUGUAAGACAGUGGUGAAAUCCCCGGGCUCAACCUGGGGACUGCCAUUGUGACUGCAAGGCUGGAGUGCGGCCGAGGGGGAUGGAAUUCCGCGUGUAGCAGUGAAAUGCGUAGAUAUGCGGAGGAACACCGAUUGCGAAGGCAAUCCCCUGGGCCUGCACUUACGCUCAUGCACGAAAGCGUGGGGAGCAAACAGGAUUAGAUACCCUGGUAGUCCACGCCCUAAACGAUGUCAACUGGUUGUUGGGGAUUUAUUUUCUCAGUAACGAAGCUAACGCGUGAAGUUGACCGCCUGGGGAGUACGGCCGCAAGGUUAAAACUCAAAGGAAUUGACGGUG
Molecule: ribosomal RNA, 395 nt
Filed under: uncultured bacterium
Lineage: Bacteria
Description: partial 16S ribosomal RNA
Rfam family: Bacterial small subunit ribosomal RNA
Source: RNAcentral